This 729-nucleotide ribosomal RNA is filed under the name uncultured eukaryote. Its description in RNAcentral is "SSU rRNA". It matches the Rfam family "Eukaryotic small subunit ribosomal RNA", at positions 670 to 1426 of the family's 1831-position model. The record is from RNAcentral.
CGGGUGCACUGAUCCGGCCGGGCCUUUCCCUCUGCGGAACCCCAUGGCCUUCACUGGCUGUGCGGGGGAAGCAGGACUUUUACUGUGAAAAAAUUAGAGUGCUCCAGGCAGGCCUAUGCUCGAAUACAUUAGCAUGGAAUAAUAGAAUAGGACGCGUGGUUCUAUUUUGUUGGUUUCUAGGACCGCCGUAAUGAUUAAUAGGGACAGUCGGGGGCAUCAGUAUUCAAUUGUCAGAGGUGAAAUUCUUGGAUCUAUUGAAGACUAACUACUGCGAAAGCAUUUGCCAAGGAUGUUUUCAUUGAUAAGGAACGAAAGUUAGGGGAUCGAAGACGAUCAGAUACCGUCGUAGUCUUAACUAUAAACUAUGCCGACUAGGGAUCGGACGAUGUUAUUCUUUGACGCGUUCGGCACCUUUCGAGAAAUCAAAGUGCUUGGGCUCCAGGGGGAGUAUGGUCGCAAGGCUGAAACUUAAAGAAAUUGACGGAAGGGCACCACCAGGGGUGGAACCUGCGGCUUAAUUUGACUCAACACGGGGAAACUCACCAGGUCCAGACACAGUGAGGAUUGACAGAUUGAGAGCUCUUUCUUGAUUCUGUGGGUGGUGGUGCAUGGCCGUUCUUAGUUGGUGGAGUGAUUUGUCUGCUUAAUUGCGAUAACGAACGAGACCUUAACCUGCUAAAUAGCCCGUACUGCUCUGGCAGUUCGCCGGCUUCUUAGAGGGACUAUCGG